RNAcentral lists this ribosomal RNA (484 nucleotides) under uncultured bacterium. Its description in RNAcentral is "partial 16S ribosomal RNA". It matches the Rfam family "Bacterial small subunit ribosomal RNA", at positions 30 to 507 of the family's 1533-position model. The record is from RNAcentral.
AUUGAACGCUGGCGGCAGGCCUAACACAUGCAAGUCAAGCGGAUGAAGGGAGCUUGCUCCUGGAUUCAGCGGCGGACGGGUGAGUAAUGCCUGGGAAUCUGCCUGGUAGUGGGGGAUAACGUCCGGAAACGGGCGCUAAUACCGCAUACGUCCUGAGGGAGAAAGUGGGGGAUCUUCGGACCUCACGCUAUCAGAUGAGCCUAGGUCGGAUUAGCUAGUUGGUGGGGUAAAGGCCUACCAAGGCGACGAUCCGUAACUGGUCUGAGAGGAUGAUCAGUCACACUGGAACUGAGACACGGUCCAGACUCCUACGGGAGGCAGCAGUGGGGAAUAUUGGACAAUGGGCGAAAGCCUGAUCCAGCCAUGCCGCGUGUGUGAAGAAGGUCUUCGGAUUGUAAAGCACUUUAAGUUGGGAGGAAGGGCAGUAAGUUAAUACCUUGCUGUUUUGACGUUACCAACAGAAUAAGCACCGGCUAACUUCGUG